AACGAACGCUGGCGGCAUGCCUAACACAUGCAAGUCGAACGAGACCUUCGGGUCUAGUGGCGCACGGGUGCGUAACGCGUGGGAACCUGCCCUUAGGUUCGGAAUAACUCAGAGAAAUUUGAGCUAAUACCGGAUGAUGUCUUCGGACCAAAGAUUUAUCGCCUUUAGAUGGGCCCUCGUUGGAUUAGCUAGUUGGGGGGGUAAAGGCCUACCAAGGCGACGAUCCAUAGCUGGUCUGAGAGGAUGAUCAGCCACACUGGGACUGAGACACGGCCCAGACUCCUACGGGAGGCAGCAGUGGGGAAUAUUGGACAAUGGGCGAAAGCCUGAUCCAGCAAUGCCGCGUAAGUGAUGAAGGCCUUAGGGUUGUAAAGCUCUUUUACCCGAGAUGAUAAUGACGGUAUCGGGAGAAUAAGCUCCGGCUAACUCCGUG
RNAcentral lists this ribosomal RNA (433 nucleotides) under uncultured bacterium. RNAcentral's name for it is "partial 16S ribosomal RNA". It matches the Rfam family "Bacterial small subunit ribosomal RNA", at positions 29 to 507 of the family's 1533-position model. The record is from RNAcentral.